RNAcentral lists this ribosomal RNA (841 nucleotides) under Paenibacillus sp. RNAcentral describes it as "bacterial SSU rRNA". It matches the Rfam family "Bacterial small subunit ribosomal RNA", at positions 8 to 839 of the family's 1533-position model. Lineage: Bacteria; Bacillati; Bacillota; Bacilli; Caryophanales; Paenibacillaceae. The record is from RNAcentral.
AGAGUUUGAUCCUGGCUCAGGACGAACGCUGGCGGCGUGCCUAAUACAUGCAAGUCGAGCGGUCCCUUCGGGGAUAGCGGCGGACGGGUGAGUAACACGUAGGCAACCUGCCUGCAAGAUCGGGAUAACUACCGGAAACGGUAGCUAAGACCGGAUAACUGGUGUCUCCGCAUGGAGAGAUCAUGAAACACGGGGCAACCUGUGGCUUGCAGAUGGGCCUGCGGCGCAUUAGCUAGUUGGUGAGGUAACGGCUCACCAAGGCGACGAUGCGUAGCCGACCUGAGAGGGUGAACGGCCACACUGGGACUGAGACACGGCCCAGACUCCUACGGGAGGCAGCAGUAGGGAAUCUUCCGCAAUGGACGCAAGUCUGACGGAGCAACGCCGCGUGAGUGAUGAAGGUUUUCGGAUCGUAAAGCUCUGUUGCCCUAGACGAACGACAAGGAGAGUAACUGCUCCUUGUGUGACGGUAUAGGAGAAGAAAGCCCCGGCUAACUACGUGCCAGCAGCCGCGGUAAUACGUAGGGGGCAAGCGUUGUCCGGAAUUAUUGGGCGUAAAGCGCGCGCAGGCGGCUGUUUAAGUCUGGUGUUUAAGCCCGGGGCUCAACCCCGGUACGCAUCGGAAACUGGAUAGCUUGAGUGUAGGAGAGGAAAGUGGAAUUCCACGUGUAGCGGUGAAAUGCGUAGAGAUGUGGAGGAACACCAGUGGCGAAAGGCGACUUUCUGGCCCUAUAACUGACGCUGAGGCGCGAAAGCGUGGGGAGCAACAGGGAUUAAGAUACCCCUGCUAGGUCCACGCGUAUACCGAUUGGAAGUUGGCUACGGGUGGAUUAAAGGGGGU